This 355-nucleotide ribosomal RNA is filed under the name uncultured bacterium. RNAcentral describes it as "bacterial SSU rRNA". It matches the Rfam family "Bacterial small subunit ribosomal RNA", at positions 113 to 509 of the family's 1533-position model. The record is from RNAcentral.
ACACGUGGGAACGUGCCCUAAAUGGGGGACAACAGAUGGAAACGUCUGCUAAUACCGCAUAAACCCUGAGGGGAAAGAUUUAUCGCUUUAGGAUCGGCCCGCGGCAGAUUAGGCAGUUGGUGGGUAAAGGCUACCAACCUACGAUCUAUAGCUGGUCUGAGAGGACGAUCAGCCACAUUGGAACUGAGACACGGUCCAGACUCCUACGGGAGGCAGCAGUGAGGAAUAUUGGGCAAUGGAGGGAACUCUGACCCAGCCAUGCCGCGUGAGUGAGAAGGUCUUCGGAUUGUAAAGCUCUUUCGGGUGUGACGAUGAUGACGGUAACACCUAAAGAAGCCCCGGCAAACUUCGUGCC